Molecule: long non-coding RNA, 1063 nt
Organism: Spinacia oleracea (spinach)
Lineage: Eukaryota; Viridiplantae; Streptophyta; Magnoliopsida; Caryophyllales; Amaranthaceae
Exons: 4
Source: RefSeq, a predicted model, not a curated record
UUUUAAUGGGUGAUUGAUAGUUGUGAUACCAAUCCAAACACUUGAGCAAAAAAGUGGAAACGAGGUGUUGGAUUCCGUGUUAGAACUUCCUAAGGGUGAGAUCUAAAGCUUUUUGUGUUUCUUUCUCCUUCAUUGAAGCUAUUCCCACUUGAGCAAGUCUUUUCCUCUGUUCCUCUCUACUAAGCUCCUGGAAUGCAUUUUAGUGAGUAUGUCGGUUCCUUUCACGCUUUUCAUUGCAAUUUACUAAUGCAACAACAAUUAACAUCUAAAAUUAAAACUAAAGGUGCUAAUGUGUGUGAGGCUACUUUUCAAAAUGGAAGAUCUUCGUUACUCGAAAUUAAAGUGGUUAACCCGGAGAUUGCGGCGAGGAAUCGGUCGGAAACAGCUGGCACAACUCAAUCGAACUCAGCCUGGCGCGCACAGAGCUCUCAGGGGGCUUAGAUUUAUCAGCAAUAAUCAAAUGGUUUUCGUGGGAAUUUUAUACUAUUGAGAUUGAGAUCCAUGGCGGUUCACAAUGUCAUAAAAAAGUGGAACUACACUGCACCAGAGAGAAGAAAAUCAAUGGAGAAAAGAGGGAGAAGAACUAAAGAAUUGCUUCCUGAGAGAAGACGAGUGGUCAUGAACUUGCGAGUUUGGAUUUUGAUUUGUGACUAUCUUUUCCGCCAGUUUUGUAUUCUUAUAUUCUCUCCUCUGGUGCAGGACUUGCGGCUGAAUCAUCCUUUAAGUUUCACGGCAACACAAGAGAUAGGGUAAUGAAAGAAAAAGUUGAAACACUUGGGUAGAGUUUUGUAUUCGGGCUAUUGGUCUUUUUUGUAAGCUUCUUUGUUUGGGCCCAAUAAUUAAGCCUAAUGUUGAUCUUUAACGGGUUUAUGUUAGCAUCAUUAUGUUAGUUUCUAUCACUGCAUAAUUACUUUUAUUCAGCUAUAUAAUUUAUUCUUAUGAUAUAUAGAUAUUCAUAUGUUGUGUAAUUUAAUGUAAUUUUGCUUUUAUGUCUCUUCUGAGACAUCUAGAAUUAACAGCAACAUAUUGUGUAAUUUAAUAUAAUUCUAUUUUUAUUUCGAAA